GAACGCACCUUGCACUCCUUGGUAUUCCGAGGAGUAUGCCUGUUUGAGUGUCAUUAAAUUCUCAAUCCUCUCAAACUUGUUUUGUAGAGGCUUUGGAUUUUGGUGUGUUGCUGGCCUUUCAAAGUCGGCUCCUCUUAAAUGUAUUAGCUUGUAUAUUUUUGCAGAUAAGCUUUAGUUUGAUAAAUAUCUAUCUAAUUGCUUUGAAGCAAAUGUCAGCUUCCAAUUGUUGUUUUACAACACUUUCUUGACAUUUUUGACCUCAAAUCAGGUAGGACUACCCGCGGAACUUA
This 290-nucleotide unclassified non-coding RNA is filed under the name Hygrophorus hedrychii. Its description in RNAcentral is "sequence contains 5.8S rRNA gene". The stretch from base 1 to 53 matches the Rfam family "5.8S ribosomal RNA", at positions 102 to 154 of the family's 154-position model. Lineage: Eukaryota; Fungi; Basidiomycota; Agaricomycetes; Agaricales; Hygrophoraceae. The record is from RNAcentral.